GUUUUGUUCGGAAGCAAAGAUAUCCGUGGAGGCUGGUUCAUUUGUCCUAUUCUGAUAUUCAGGACCAAGAGUUACUGGAUUAUCUUUUGGAUAGGCCCUGAAAGGAGAAGAAAGGCUGAAAUGCCAAUGGACCUCUGUCUAUUCUCUAAUUCACCCGAUCCUAUAGUACCCGUUUUUGGAACGUCAGGAACUCAAGGCUCAACUUCACACAGAACAACUCAAGUGGGUCAAGGAACAAGCAACGUGUAA
RNAcentral lists this ribosomal RNA (249 nucleotides) under Triticum aestivum (bread wheat). RNAcentral's name for it is "partial small subunit ribosomal RNA". Lineage: Eukaryota; Viridiplantae; Streptophyta; Magnoliopsida; Poales; Poaceae. The record is from RNAcentral.